AUUAUUUAUUCAUUUCUAUGCUUCUGACUCACAUUUGCAUUUACUAUUUAACCUCUGCUCACUGUGAAUUGGUACACAAAACCUCCUCUUGGGGCUUGUUGUCACAAAAGACCAAUAUGUUUUAAAUGAAUUUAACUUUUUUGUUGUCCCAAAAGGACCAUAUUAAAUUAGUUUCACUUUCUUCCUGGACAAUAACCUGUUCAAUAAUUACAGUCAUAACUUAAACUUUUACUUUUAACACUGGGAAAACAGAGAGAGAGAGAGAAAAAAAGCUGAAUAAAAAACAACUGGAACUUUUUUCAUUUCUGCAGUCUUUAACAAUUACCUAUUUUUUCAUUCUGUUUAUUUAGUAAUUUAAAAGACUGGCCAAUUAUUUCUUUUUCAACUUUAGGUUGAAAUUCACGAGUCUCAAGUUGAGUUUCACAGAAAUGUUUCUCUAAUCGUCCAAGUUUGUGUUUUUCACCGCCCACUAACAGACACAUGAAGAAAAAAGUGAGCGCGUGAGCUGCACAGACGCAGAUCUCCUCACAGCGCGUGAACAAGACACAGAAUGGUUCGACUGAGAACACUGAAUGAACUGGCCCAUCUGAGAGACACUGAGUUUGGUCAGCCGUAUCCCAGACAUGGUCUCAUUCUGCUGUGGUGGUUUGCUGAUGAAUGUGUUGAAAUUGAUGAAGACGGUAAUAUGAUUGCACGAUGCGACCCCGAAGAUAGAGAUUUUGGUUUCCAUCCGUUCCAUAAUUCAGAAGAACUUCUUCCUGAUUCUGGCCUACCUUACUAUGAAUUGGGCAACCUGAGACAUCCAGGCGCAAUGCCUCAUUAUGUUACAAAGAAUUACGAGCAUGAUGUGCCUGCGAGCAACGCAGAUCGUAUUGUUGUUUCAGUCAAUUCAGACUGUAAUGACAAAUGGUUUGACAGGAUUUACGUGACACAUCACUUAGGGCAGGGGCGCUUCGAUGAGAACUGCACCUUCCGCAUCAGCCAAGGCCUCAUUGAGAUCAUUCAAGGCAUGGAAUGGUCAGAUUUCAUUGGGGAAGUUAAGGUCAGGCAGCGCCGUAAUCGGCGUGGUCGUCGUUGACCUUGUGUUAUGUGUGUAUGAUUAUCUAUGCAGUCUGGAUCCUACAGACACUCAUAACUGAAAUCAAACAUUCCUGUUCAUCCUAAAUAAAUGCCUUUUACAGCAAGCGUCUUCCUGGAAUUUUCACAACCAAUAACAAAUUCAUUAAUUUGAAUUGAGUAUAUUGAUUUGGGUCAUAUAAAUGGUUCAUUUGUGCCAUCACUUUGUGCCGGAUGAGAAGCUUUAUGAUUCUUCAUGUAGCUCUAAUUAAUAAGUUGCAUUGUGUUCUGUCUGUUUACUUACAUGUUUAUUGUUUAAUUAAUUGUGUCUAAUUUGCAUUAAAAGAAAUUGUUCACUCAAAAAUGAAAAA
Molecule: long non-coding RNA, 1427 nt
Organism: Ctenopharyngodon idella (grass carp)
Lineage: Eukaryota; Metazoa; Chordata; Actinopteri; Cypriniformes; Xenocyprididae
Exons: 2
Source: RefSeq, a predicted model, not a curated record